AAAUAGCAUGCAAUAAUAUCAUACAGUAACUACCAUAAAUAACUACCAUAAGGAGACACAAGCCAAAACACAAAUCAUCUAUGGAUAGCCCUGCCAAGCCUCACCCAACCCCCGGUGAGGAGUACGAAAAACUCUAGGAGCCCCCCUAUCCUACAAUCCUGAUUCUAGACCUCCAGACUUUCCUAUUAAGGGUCAUGUCCUCGGAAACCUGCAUUCUAGCCAUGUCAUGCCUAAUCACCUCUCCCCAAUACCUCUUAGGUCUCCCUCUGUCUCGCCGUACGCCGACCAUCGUCAGCCGCUCACAACUCCUCACUGG
RNAcentral lists this long non-coding RNA (316 nucleotides) under Nicotiana benthamiana. RNAcentral describes it as "long non-coding RNA (NBEN_LNC018168)". Lineage: Eukaryota; Viridiplantae; Streptophyta; Magnoliopsida; Solanales; Solanaceae. The record is from RNAcentral.